This 602-nucleotide ribosomal RNA is filed under the name Calochromus sp. UPOL MT0047. Its description in RNAcentral is "partial 16S ribosomal RNA". The stretch from base 378 to 536 matches the Rfam family "Bacterial large subunit ribosomal RNA", at positions 2473 to 2632 of the family's 2925-position model. The record is from RNAcentral. Lineage: Eukaryota; Metazoa; Arthropoda; Insecta; Coleoptera; Lycidae.
CAUGUCUUUAUGAUUAUAAUUUUAAGUCUGGUCUGCUCAAUGAUUAAUUAAAUUGCCGCAGUAUUAUGACUGUGCGAAGGUAGCAUAAUAAUUAGUUUCUUGAUUAGGAACUUGUAUGAAUGAUUGGACAAGAAAAUUUCUGUCUCUUUUUAAUUAUUUAAGGAACUUUAUUUUUAAGUUAAAAAGCUUAAAUAUAUAUAAAAGACGAGAAGACCCUAUAGAGUUUAAUAAUAUUAUAAAUCUAAAUUUAGAAAAUUCUAUUUAAAAAUAUUAUUUAGUUGGGGUGACUAAAAGAUUUAAAAAAUUCUUUUAAUUUUUUAUUAUUGAUAAAUAAAUAUUAAAUCUGGUAUUUCAAAUUUAAAAUUAAUUACCUUAGGGAUAACAGCGUAAUUUUUCUUUAAAGCUCAAAUUAAGGGAAAAUUUUGCGACCUCGAUGUUGGAUUAAAAUUAAUUUUUGGUGCAGUAACUUAAAAAUUAGGUCUGUUCGACCUUUAAAAUUUUACAUGAUCUGAGUUUAGACCGGUGUGAGCCAGGUCGGAUUCUAUCUUUAGAUUAAUUACAUAUUUUAGUACGAAAGGACCAAAUAUUUGUUAUAAUAAUUG